This 1131-nucleotide long non-coding RNA is filed under the name Amborella trichopoda. RNAcentral's name for it is "long non-coding RNA (ATRI_LNC001695)". Lineage: Eukaryota; Viridiplantae; Streptophyta; Magnoliopsida; Amborellales; Amborellaceae. The record is from RNAcentral.
AUAACAGCCGUACAAAGGAACCCUCCUGCAAAUCAUAUAAAGGUAAUGGGCAGGGAUGUUAAACACGGUUUGUACUAAAAAUAAUGAUCGUCAUUCCUUUACAACAGCCAUUAUAUAAUGGCAUAAAGCCCAUCUCAAUGGGUUUUUAAUAGUAAUGAGACAUGAAAGCAACAGCCCUAAGAGAAAAAUAACAGCCUUCAUAAAGCAAAAAACCCUUUUUGUACAUAAAAUGAAAAAGAGAUGUUUUUUAGAACAGAUAUUUCAUGCAUUUUUUUAAGACAUUGAACAACCCAGCUUUCAAAUUUUGACGUGCAGCAUCCCCACCCCAAUGUGACUGUUUUAGAGGGGCAACAGAUCAAAUUGUCCUCUCUAGUAGGUCCAAUUUCUUCUAUUCCUGUUUCCCUGUAGCAUUUGGUGAUCUUGACCCCUAACAUAUGCGUUGUAAAGAGGGCAUUCCCACUAGAGGGAUUCUCGAGCCUUUCAUGAUCCCAACCAUUAUGGUCUCUCUCUCUCUCUCCCUUAGUGUACUGAGACUCAGAUUCAGAUUCGGCUGAGUCUAGAGCGAGUUCGAGGACCUCCGAGCAACCUGUACACCCAUGGCGAGUGCUCCAUGUACUCGCCCGAGAUUCAACAACUCGGCCAAGUAUUAUUGAACUAGGUACAAGGCUGAGGCAAGUUGCACCUCAUCGCUCUCUCUCUCUCUCCUCUUUUCUCUCUCUAAAAUGAGGCCAAACCCCCCUUUCAUCUCGCCAGAAGCCAGGUACUUCUUCUUUUUCGUUGUUCAGAGCUGAACUUGAGGAAUGAGAAGACUCAUUGAUGUGAUCAUUGGAAACCCAGCUGACACUUUAGAAGGAGACCCCUGUUAUCAACUUCGCACAAAAUCCUUUAACGAAUCAAUUGCCCAGGGAGUUCAUCAUGCUUAGGUAGAGGGAAAGAGUUAGUGCCCAGGAUUCUCUUUCAUGCUUGGAUAGAGGUAGACACUAGGGAGAAGAGAGGGGAUAAAAGGGGCAUAUUUGAGGUUUUAUAUCUCUCCAUUCUAGAGAGAGAAAAUGCCGAGGAGAUUACCACUCUCCACUCCACAGAGAGUAAACGUGAAGCCCUAAUUUCACAUAAUUUUGCACUUAAUCCUCC